ACUGCGAAGGGGGGACGGAGAAGGCUAUGUUGGCCGGGCGACGGUUGUCCCGGUUUAAGCGUGUAGGCUGGUUUUCCAGGCAAAUCCGGAAAAUCAAGGCUGAGGCGUGAUGACGAGGCACUACGGUGCUGAAGCAACAAAUGCCCUGCUUCCAGGAAAAGCCUCUAAGCAUCAGGUAACAUCAAAUCGUACCCCAAACCGACACAGGUGGUCAGGUAGAGAAUACCAAGGCGCUUGAGAGAACUCGGGUGAAGGAACUAGGCAAAAUGGUGCCGUAACUUCGGGAGAAGGCACGCUGAUAUGUAGGUGAAGUCCCUCGCGGAUGGAGCUGAAAUCAGUCGAAGAUACCAGCUGGCUGCAACUGUUUAUUAAAAACACAGCACUGUGCAAACACGAAAGUGGACGUAUACGGUGUGACGCCUGCCCGGUGCCGGAAGGUUAAUUGAUGGGGUUAGCGCAAGCGAAGCUCUUGAUCGAAGCCCCGGUAAACGGCGGCCGUAACUAUAACGGUCCUAAGGUAGCGAAAUUCCUUGUCGGGUAAGUUCCGACCUGCACGAAUGGCGUAAUGAUGGCCAGGCUGUCUCCACCCGAGACUCAGUGAAAUUGAACUCGCUGUGAAGAUGCAGUGUACCCGCGGCAAGACGGAAAGACCCCGUGAACCUUUACUAUAGCUUGACACUGAACAUUGAGCCUUGAUGUGUAGGAUAGGUGGGAGGCUUUGAAGUGUGGACGCCAGUCUGCAUGGAGCCGACCUUGAAAUACCACCCUUUAAUGUUUGAUGUUCUAACGUUGACCCGUGAUCCGGGUUGCGGACAGUGUCUGGUGGGUAGUUUGACUGGGGCGGUCUCCUCCUAAAGAGUAACGGAGGAGCACGAAGGUUGGCUAAUCCUGGUCGGACAUCAGGAGGUUAGUGCAAUGGCAUAAGCCAGCUUGACUGCGAGCGUGACGGCGCGAGCAGGUGCGAAAGCAGGUCAUAGUGAUCCGGUGGUUCUGAAUGGAAGGGCCAUCGCUCAACGGAUAAAAGGUACUCCGGGGAUAACAGGCUGAUACCGCCCAAGAGUUCAUAUCGACGGCGGUGUUUGGCACCUCGAUGUCGGCUCAUCACAUCCUGGGGCUGAAGUAGGUCCCAAGGGUAUGGCUGUUCGCCAUUUAAAGUGGUACGCGAGCUGGGUUUAGAACGUCGUGAGACAGUUCGGUCCCUAUCUGCCGUGGGCGCUGGAGAAUUGAGGGGGGCUGCUCCUAGUACGAGAGGACCGGAGUGGACGCAUCACUGGUGUUCGGGUUGUCAUGCCAAUGGCACUGCCCGGUAGCUAAAUGCGGAAGAGAUAAGUGCUGAAAGCAUCUAAGCACGAAACUUGCCCCGAGAUGAGUUCUCCCUGACUCCUUGAGAGUCCUGAAGGAACGUUGAAGACGACGACGUUGAUAGGCCGGGUGUGUAAGCGCAGCGAUGCGUUGAGCUAACCGGUACUAAUGAACCGUGAGGCUUAACCUUACAACGCCGAAG
RNAcentral lists this ribosomal RNA (1504 nucleotides) under Escherichia coli. RNAcentral describes it as "bacterial LSU rRNA". It matches the Rfam family "Bacterial large subunit ribosomal RNA", at positions 1453 to 2925 of the family's 2925-position model. Lineage: Bacteria; Pseudomonadati; Pseudomonadota; Gammaproteobacteria; Enterobacterales; Enterobacteriaceae. The record is from RNAcentral.